RNAcentral lists this ribosomal RNA (403 nucleotides) under uncultured bacterium. RNAcentral describes it as "bacterial SSU rRNA". It matches the Rfam family "Bacterial small subunit ribosomal RNA", at positions 355 to 774 of the family's 1533-position model. The record is from RNAcentral.
UGGGGAAUAUUGCGCAAUGGGGGAAACCCUGACGCAGCAACGCCGCGUGAUUGAAGAAGGCCUUCGGGUUGUAAAGAUCUUUAAUGAGGGACGAAGAAUGACGGUACCUCAAGAAUAAGCUCCGGCUAACUACGUGCCAGCAGCCGCGGUAAUACGUAGGGAGCAAGCGUUGUCCGGAAUUAUUGGGCGUAAAGCGUUCGUAGGCGGUAUAUCAAGUCUGGUGUUAAAGCCCGGGGCUCAACUCCGGUUCAGCAUCGGAUACUGGUAAACUAGAAUGCGGUAGAGGUAAGGGGAAUUCCUGGUGUAGCGGUGAAAUGCGUGGAUAUCAGGAGGAACAUCGGUGGCGAAAGCGCCUUACUGGGCCGUUAUUGACGCUGAGGAACGAAAGCCGGGGGAGCAAAUG